RNAcentral lists this transfer RNA (73 nucleotides) under Ramalina intermedia. RNAcentral describes it as "tRNA-Arg". It matches the Rfam family "tRNA". Rfam says of the family: Transfer RNA (tRNA) molecules are approximately 80 nucleotides in length. Lineage: Eukaryota; Fungi; Ascomycota; Lecanoromycetes; Lecanorales; Ramalinaceae. RNAcentral also lists the same sequence under 1 other name. The record is from RNAcentral.
GGCAUGUUAGCUUAAUUGGUAGAGCGUUGUGCUACGGACACAAAGAUUACAGGUUCGAAUCUUGUACAUGCUU